AUUUGCCAAAUAAUCUUUCAGGGGAACAACAGCCCUAGGGCUUCAUGAUCCCUCCAGUUUAAUUUCGGGUUUGGAAUCGGGAAGGGAUGAGGUAGCCCCCCCAGAAUCCAUUCCCCACUUUCUGCAGCAAUAUUUCUAAAAGAUUCUCUCUCUUUCUCUGUCUUUGAUGGCAAAGCAUCACCAGGCCAUUAUCUCACUCUAUUUCUCUCUCUCCCCACCGUUUAUGCAGGAUACUGAGCAUGGUAGGGGUGGGGAAAAAUAGGCCCCUGGGCCAGAUCCGGCCCCUAGUAGACGUUGUUGUUUAGUAGCAUGCCCCCUUCCUCCCCCAUGGCAAGCUAAGAAGGAAGAAGAAGGGUGUGGUGAAGAAAUUGCAUAUGCAGAACAGGGUUUGGCUGCUGGACAUGGGAAGGAUGGGAACUGGGUUGCUGACUUCAAAGUGGCUGUCCGGAAAGGAGCCAGAACUUUAACCUUUAUGGGAUCCAAAUGUCUGCUGAAUGGAUGACGUGCCUACGAUAAUUAAGGUAAAUAUGAGAAUUAAUAUUGUUUAUGCAAUAAGUUGAGAGCUAAAUCAGAACAGUGCAGCUUGCAGAUCCGAUACUUGUAUUAGUAGCAAAAUGUGUAUGAGGGUACCUGCUUUUACGCAUAUGGUAAUCUAGAACAGUGGUUCUUAACCUUGGGUUACUCAUGUGUUUUUGGACUGCAACUCCCAGAAGCCUUCACCACCAGCUGUGCUAGCUGGGGUUUCUGGGAGUUGCAGUUCAAAAACACCCGAGUAGCCCACGGUUAAGAACCACUGAUAUAGAAUACAUGUCUUUAUAUUUUUAUUUCUUGCACUUUCUGCUGGCCCACCUGAAUACUUUUACUGAGGCCAGAGUGUGAUUGCCUUUGUAAUUUCUCUAGCCUGCUCAGAUGCACACAAGUACGAUGUAUUGUCUUGAACCCAUCCAUUUAUAAUGGAUGAAAUCCUGCUACAGUGCUAUACUUGUCAGACUUGAAGAUACGAAGCCAUUAGCCCUAGUUGUGCCAAGGUGCAGCUGCUAUUUGCGAAAUACCUUAUUUCCUUGGAAAUGAGACCUAACCUGAAAAUAAGCAAUGGUAUGAUUUUCCAGGAUGUUCGUCAUAUAAGCCCUACCCCAAAAAUAAGCCCCAGUUAAGUGAACCCCCGCCCUCCACCCUUGUGCAGCAACCAGAAGAAGAUGACAUGACUGUAUUUGAAUAAAUGUAGAUGGUUGUACA
Molecule: long non-coding RNA, 1236 nt
Filed under: Pogona vitticeps (central bearded dragon)
Lineage: Eukaryota; Metazoa; Chordata; Lepidosauria; Squamata; Agamidae
Description: lncRNA (ENSPVIG00000014706.1)
Source: RNAcentral